ACAGGCUCCCGGCGCGGCCCCUCCCGCCCUCACCGAUGGCAGCUCCGCGGCUCCGACGCCGGCAGGGAAGCUGCGUGCCUGCCCCCCGCUCCGCGCCCUUGCCCCGGUGGCGCCCCCUCUGCGCAGCUUGCCGCCUCCCCCCUCCGGCAGGGAGGGCGGGGGGCAGGCGAGGCCUCUAGGCGAGGCGGUCGUGCGUGGGGGGAAGGGUGCGUUUGGAGGAGGGAGGCAGAUGGCAAAGGGCGGCAUUGCGCCUUGGUGGGGGAGCUCUACAAACAGAGAAGUGUAUCACUUGAGCAUUCUGGAAAACUUUUUUGGAGAUUCCUGUCUACCCCAGUUGACUCUCCUGGAGCUUACACAAUAAUUGGAAGAUGCACUAAUGUGUCACAGCCCGAAAGGAGUCAUUCAGGACAACCUCCCUCCCCUUGGGACCAGCGACAAAGUUCAUGAUGCCCUUGGACUGAAUUAAGGUGAAACAACACCAGCCAACCAGUUUUAAGAUUUAUUAACACAAAGGCAUGUGCUCAAAUAGGAUCAACUAGUUAGACAAGUCCCGUGUCACACGUUUCAAACAGAUUCAACAAAACAGAAGGAAAAAAGAGAGAAAAAGGUGGAAAGAGAGAGAGAAAAAGAUAUCACCACCCGUGGAUCUGUUACAAGACAACCCUCAGAAGCUCAGAAAGAAUGUUUGAAUUUGUGUCUGUUGCCUGUCAUCCUGUCGCUGUGCACCAAGAAGAUCCUGGCUUCAGCUUCCCUGAAUCUGCUGAUCAUUUAAAAUUUAUGUAUGUAAACACAUUAUUAUAUGUUUCUAAGUGAUCAGGGAGGCUAGCGCUCAUUCAUUUUUGUAAGAUAUUGGGAGAUGCAGAACCACCACCUUUCCUCCAUAUCUUUAAAGGAAGCACUUCUGAGUGGUCUGAGCAGAGCUUCCAGGCUGGGUCCUUUGGGCUGCUCAACUUACUUCACUUUGAAUCAGGUGAUAUCUUGGCACUGAGCUGUGGAAGCUGAGUUCUUCUGAGUACAUGCAGGUGCAGAACUACUGGUCACCAGAGAGCUUAACAUCAAAUCAGAAACACUUUAAAAUUAGGUGGGCCAGAGUGAAGAUUUUUAGCUCACAGUUUUGUCCUAGGUGCCUAAUGUCCAUGCAAAUGUUGUUUUAAGUCAGUUCAGUUACCUGUACAAAGUUGUCCAGUGCUCUUUGAGAUGCCCUAAGGGUAUUUAGCCUGGCAGCCAGCUGCCACUCUAGCAGUGUACGGAUCUCCUGAAAGUCCUUUGUCACCUAGCCAGCUCCAUAUGGAUUCUUUGGACAGCAUAAGACAUCUCAAAUGGCAUGAGACACCUGUGUGUGAGCACAUGCUUUUCCCCACUUCUUUGUUUCCCAUUUUAAUGGUGGGAUUCCAUUUGAGAGGAGGACAUCUUCAUGUAAAUGCCCAUUUAACAUCUAAAUGUAAACUAAAGGUUUAAGCUUUUGUUAUAAUAAAUAGAGGUAUGGCACAUGA
Molecule: long non-coding RNA, 1493 nt
Organism: Dromaius novaehollandiae (emu)
Lineage: Eukaryota; Metazoa; Chordata; Aves; Casuariiformes; Dromaiidae
Exons: 4
Source: RefSeq, a predicted model, not a curated record